GAAAUGCGAUAAGUAGUGUGAAUUGCAGAAUUCAGUGAAUCAUCGAAUCUUUGAACGCACAUUGCGCCCCUUGGUAUUCCAUGGGGCAUGCCUGUUCGAGCGUCAUUUGUACCCUCAAGCUCUGCUUGGUGUUGGGUGUUUGUCCCCGUCUCCGCGCGUGGACUCGCCCCAAAGUGAUUGGCAGCCGGCGUACUGGUCCCGGAGCGCAGCACAUGUCGCGCAAACGAGUGCCUUGGUACGGCGUCGUCCAUAAGCCCCUCUCUCACGCUCUUGACCUCGGAUCAGGUAGGGAUACCCGCUGAACUUAAGC
This 310-nucleotide unclassified non-coding RNA is filed under the name plant metagenome. RNAcentral describes it as "partial contains 5.8S ribosomal RNA, internal transcribed spacer 2, and large subunit ribosomal RNA". The stretch from base 1 to 105 matches the Rfam family "5.8S ribosomal RNA", at positions 50 to 154 of the family's 154-position model. The record is from RNAcentral.